AAAUUACCAAAGCCUUCCGGGUCAGGCUGUGGAAGUCAGUCAGGCUCCGGAAGCCAAGUUCCGGAAGUCAGUAAGGCCUCGGAAGUCAAGUCCUGGAAGUUGGGCUUGCAAUCAUUAGGUGGAGAUAUUGUUUGUUCUGUGCUCAGAAUUCCCUGGAGUGAGACUCAGGACAAUAUUAAAUCCAAUGAAUCACGCAGCUUUCAGGAGGGCAGGGCAGCACGCUGCAGAGCAGCACUGAAUGAUGGCUUGGCCUGGCGUCCCUGGUGGCAGCAGUGGCCGCACCAGGCACCGUGUUCUCAUUCAACAAAGACUCAGAAUCUUCCUGGUUUGUGGAAAGAGUGCUAUUCUGACAUUGGAUGCUGCUGAGAAUCGGGCAACAGUCUUAGUGAGGUGACCAUCAUCUGAGGAGUUUUGAUGUGAGGACUGUGAACAUCUCCAGAACAGGAGACAUUUGGAAGAGCUUGUGCCCACUGGUAUCUGAAACUUGGCUGCUCAUUCUUCAGAAACCCCUUGUAUCCUGCUAUGAUUCCUCAGCAACACCAUCACAUGGAAAAGAACCAACAAUGUGAAGAAACGAAUAUGGU
RNAcentral lists this long non-coding RNA (584 nucleotides) under Homo sapiens (human). RNAcentral's name for it is "HSALNT0395155". Lineage: Eukaryota; Metazoa; Chordata; Mammalia; Primates; Hominidae. The record is from RNAcentral.